Drosophila gunungcola (fruit fly) is the source of this 1520-nucleotide long non-coding RNA. RefSeq lists it as uncharacterized. The record is from RefSeq and is a predicted model, not a curated record. The transcript is spliced from 2 exons. Lineage: Eukaryota; Metazoa; Arthropoda; Insecta; Diptera; Drosophilidae.
UUCAAUUUGUUAACUUUUUAUUGAAACUCAAAUGAAAAUAUUCACAAAAAGAAUAAUUACACUAUUUUACUUUUUUUUUUGUCAAUGUUAGUGGAAACAAGAAAGGAAGCAAACUUCGGCAAGCCGAAGUUUAUAUACCCAUUCAGCUAUUUCAAAAAUUAAAUAUUCUUGAUAACAUUAUAACUAUGAUUUACUUGCGUAUAUGUUUAAAAGCAUUUAAGCUAUGGUGAUUUGCAGCUCAGUUAUUUGAAAGUUCCUAUGACAGCUAAAAGAAUUAAAAGCGUAAUCCUGAACUGUCAAACUAUUAAUAAGUCAAAAAGAAUUUAAAAAAAAAAAAUAAAAACAAAAUAGAAAAGUUACAUUAAAAAAAGGUUUAUUGUUUGUAUGGGAGAUAUAUGAUAUAAUCGUCCGAUUUUUAUGAAAUUUAAACCGUAGUUCUGAAAUAUUUAACCAUUACUAUAUGUCGAAGUACUAAAAAAAAUUAUUAAACAGCAAAGUUAUAAUUUUGUUCUAUUUAUUUUUCUGAUUGUUCUUAUGGGAGCUAUAUGCUAUAGUCGUCCGAUCCGUUUCGUUCCGGACCUUUUGGGAAAGUUUGCGUAGAAACGGACGGACAGACGGACAUGGCUAGAUCGACUCUCCUAGUGAUGCUGAGGGUAUUGCAAACUUCUGACUGAAAUUAUAAUACCCUCUGCAAGGGUAUAAAAACAACGACAACAAUUAGUGUGCCCAAUCGAAUGGCUGCAAGUUUAACAAAAAACCACUGUACCGAUACUCCGGAUGCCACGGGUACGAUGCGUCCGCCUUCAACAUUGUGCUGGGUCUCACCUCGCAAAUGGACAACUCGGAGUACUCGCUGCCCAGCGAUAGUCCCCGCAAUAUGUUCUACAAGGAGACGCUGGAGCAGGCCACCCGGAUACUGGAGAGCCGGCGGCGCAACAGCAGCGAGACAUCCGACCAUCCGUUUACGGACGACUGAGCUUGUCCUGCUGGGAUGAAAAGUUUACGAGGGCGGGGCCAAAGCAUUUGAUAACACUUUUUCUACCGACACACCCACACACACACGCAGAUACUCAGGAGCCAGCGGAACAAACCAAGAUUGGCAGAACCCAAAAUGAAGUAGCUAACACGCAUGCGAUUCCCAGUUAAGCAGAGAUCGAAAGACGAUUUGGUAUCCAAGACAGACCAGAGCACAGUAAUUUAGCGUUACGUUAGGCUGUGCAGCUUAUCAAUAAUUAUAACAGUUUAGUCAAGCCCUAGUUACUUAUUAAACGAAAUCUGCAUGAAUAUCUGUGUGACUGUUUCCAUGUUUUUGUUGCAUCGAUAUUUGUAAAUACCCUGUUUAGUUAACUGCCCCAACUGUAAGUAGAUAAGAACAUCAAAUGGCAUACAUUUUGUGAUUGUAUUUUAUAGUUACUCACGCAUAGACAAACAUAUAAAGUAUAUUAAUUUAAAUGUAAUGUAACUAUCAUAAAACAAGAUGAGCCAAAAAAGUAAGUUAAUAAAUUUAUGAAUAACCAAUA